UUUUUUUUUUUUUUUUAAACUUCUCUCAUCUCAAUAAGUUCCGCUGGAAGGCAUGCGUGUCAGAUUGGGAUUCAAUGAGUUGGCCCUUGAGCCCUCAAAAUACAGAGUCCAGAUGAUCCAAAUAAAAUAUCAGAUUAAUCCGACCCCCUUAAAUAGCGGAUCCAAAUCGAGAGAUAUUCAACAAGUCACUGUUUGACAUCUUUCUUGCUCGAACACACUACCUGUAGCCAAC
This 232-nucleotide unclassified non-coding RNA is filed under the name Hevea brasiliensis (rubber tree). The record is from RNAcentral. Lineage: Eukaryota; Viridiplantae; Streptophyta; Magnoliopsida; Malpighiales; Euphorbiaceae.